Molecule: long non-coding RNA, 1062 nt
Organism: Nyctereutes procyonoides (raccoon dog)
Lineage: Eukaryota; Metazoa; Chordata; Mammalia; Carnivora; Canidae
Exons: 3
Source: RefSeq, a predicted model, not a curated record
GCCACUUGGGGCGAACUUUCACGGCGACGAUGUUUACGUCCAGUGAGGCUCUGGGCUGUAUCUGACGGGCUCCUAGCUCAGCUCCCACCUCUCGGGCUCCACGGAAGCGGGAGGCAUCCUACUCCGCUCCAAAAGAAUCCUUAAUGAAGAGAUCCGUCUCCAGAUCAUCUGCAUAUAACAGCAGUCCUACUUUCCUGCUCCAUAUGUGACAUGCUUAACUAUAAACUAUUAGCUAAAUGUUGAAACUGACAUAAAUUGUUGAGGAGCACUACAGCGCCACCAACACAGAUCAAUGCAAAACAAAAAAGAUCUCCUACCGUGUGCAAAAAAGAAAAAAAAAUUAGAAAAAUGCCAAAAAUUACAAAAUGUCUCCCAAAUGUACCUUUUUGGAGAAAAACACGGUAGAUCUGCAAAGAUUAUCUAAUGAAGAGCUUCAAAGAAUUAAUGUGAUGGAAUACAAGUUUAGAUCUGAUCAGCAAAUAAAAGAUCCACUAUUUAGUAACAGCCAUAACUUAAUAUAAACCCGGUUAUGUCAAUCUCCACCUUCAUCAUACCAAGGGCAGCUUUUCUGUAGUUUGUAUCCAAGUAAUCCAUCAAGAAAACCACAAUAGGCCUAUUUAAAAAGAAAAAAAGAGAGAAGAAACAAAACUAUAUCCACAGUUUGUCUGCUGAUAAUUUAGUCCUGGACAAAUUAGGUAAUACAUAAUUUUUAUAAAGAGGAUAUGCACAUAUUUGGCAUUACCAACACUGCUGGCACAAAACAAGUCCAUCUUGAAAUAGCUGAGUUCCCCUGUAGUUCACAGUAAUCAAAGUAUAAUUCAUUUCACAAAUAUUUAGCUUUCAGGAUGAUGAAAAAAAAAAAAACCCACAACUGUGGGGUUUUUUUUAGUACAUUUUAGUAAAAAAUGUACCAGCCAAGAUUAGGUGGAAUACGCAGAGAGAUCAAAGCUAAAGAAAAAGAAAAAAAUACAAAGAUUGGUUCUGUUAGAAGAAACACAAUGAAAAUCCUCUUUACCCGGUGGCUCCUUCAAAGAUGUAACGACAUAAACGUUUAAAAUCACA